AGAGUUUGAUCAUGGCUCAGAUUGAACGCUGGCGGCAGGCCUAACACAUGCAAGUCGAGCGGUAACAGAUUGAUAGCUUGCUAUCAAUGCUGACGAGCGGCGGACGGGUGAGUAAUGCCUGGGAAUAUGCCCUGAUGUGGGGGAUAACUAUUGGAAACGAUAGCUAAUACCGCAUAAUCUCUUCGGAGCAAAGAGGGGGACCUUCGGGCCUCUCGCGUCAGGAUUAGCCCAGGUGGGAUUAGCUUGUUGGUGGGGUAAUGGCUCACCAAGGCAACGAUCCCUAGCUGGUCUGAGAGGAUGAUCAGCCACACUGGAACUGAGACACGGUCCAGACUCCUACGGGAGGCAGCAGUGGGGAAUAUUGCACAAUGGGGGAAACCCUGAUGCAGCCAUGCCGCGUGUAUGAAGAAGGCCUUCGGGUUGUAAAGUACUUUCAGUUGUGAGGAAGACAGUAAAGUUAAUAGCUUUGCUAUUUGACGUUAGCAACAGAAGAAGCACCGGCUAACUCCGUGCCAGCAGCCGCGGUAAUACGGAGGGUGCGAGCGUUAAUCGGAAUUACUGGGCGUAAAGCGCAUGCAGGUGGUUUGUUAAGCAAGAUGUGAAAGCCCGGGGCUCAACCUCGGAACAGCAUUUUGAACUGGCAGACUAGAGUACUGUAGAGGGGGGUAGAAUUUCA
Molecule: ribosomal RNA, 676 nt
Filed under: uncultured Vibrionaceae bacterium
Lineage: Bacteria; Pseudomonadati; Pseudomonadota; Gammaproteobacteria; Vibrionales; Vibrionaceae
Description: bacterial SSU rRNA
Rfam family: Bacterial small subunit ribosomal RNA
Source: RNAcentral